Molecule: long non-coding RNA, 4956 nt
Filed under: Salmo salar (Atlantic salmon)
Lineage: Eukaryota; Metazoa; Chordata; Actinopteri; Salmoniformes; Salmonidae
Description: lncRNA (ENSSSAG00000098066.1)
Source: RNAcentral
CUUGGUCAUCUUAUUUCUUAGGGCUAGGGUCCUUUUUUCAGAAUUUCAGCCUGACAGAAGCAAGGAUAUGCAUAUAAUUGGCACCAUUGGAUAGAAAACACUUUGAUGUUUGUAGAAAUGUUCAAAUAAUGUAUGAGACUAUAACACAAUUGACAUGGUAGGAGAAAACCAACCAGAUUCUUUUUCUUUUUUGAGAUCCCAUGCUCUUACAAUGGAAAGGUAUGUGUCCUAUGUAAUUCCAGCUCCCAGAUUGCAAUUCCUAUGGCUUCCACUAGAUGUCAACAGUCUUUGUUCAAAGUUUCAGCCUUGUUUCUUCCCAAACGAGGAAGAAAUUUGAGUUUUGGUACUGGGAGUCACAGUUUGAAAUCAGUCUGUGGGCACGGGACGAAGAGGACGCACACUUGCUAAUUUUACUUUUCUAUCGAACAUACUUCUUUCUGUAUGAAAUAUUAUAGGUUAAUUACAUUUUAGGGUACCUGAGGAUUAAAUAGAAACGUAGUUUGACUUGUUUUAACAAAGUUUAGCUGUAGCUUUUUGGAUUCCUUUGUCUGCAUGUUGAACGAGUGGAUUACUGAAAUCGAUGGCACCAACUAAACUGACUUUUUGGGAUAUAAAGAAGGACUUUAUCUAACAAAACGACCAUGCAUGUUGUAGCUGGGACCCUUUGGAUUGCAAAUCAGAGGAAGAUUUUCAAAAAAUGAUCGUUACAGAACUACCCACCACAACUGGAUCAAGCAGCGUGAUCGGGAGGAGAUGGACACCUGGUCUCGUCAGGAGUGGCUGGUGAGGAAAGACUGGACAUGGGGCCAGGUGAUCGAAAGAUAUCGGAGCCUACCCGGGAAGAAGGAGAGACAGCUCCAAGAUUUUUUUUUGGGGGGGCCACACAGGACGGUUGGCGGUGCCGAGGAUGGAACCAGAGCCAGUCAGGGUGAAGUUGGAGGUGAGCGAAGGGAGCGAAGCAGAGACGGUGAAGGAGUUGAUGGGGAGAUUGGAGGAGAGAGAUAUGAGAGAGCUGCUGUGUUGGUGCUGCUGUGUUGGUCCCCUCUUUCAGAUGAUCGUUACACACACAUACUGCCAGCAAGCUGCAGGAUUGGCCUACAGGCACAACUGCAGCUAGCAACUCAAAUAAAUUGAAUGAAACAUUGCAAAUGCACACAAUCUUGAAAUACACUGAACCAAAUAAAUACAUAUAAAUACAACAGUCCAUGUAGUUCAUAUAAGGAAAUCAGUCAAUUUAAAUACAUUCAUUAGGCCCAAAUCUAUGGAUUUCACAUGCCUCGGAGUGCAUAUAUGCAUAUGUUGGUCACAGAUACAUUUGGCCAUGUAGUGUAUGUGGAUUUUGCUAUUUUAGCCUCACCCGUUUCUGACAGGUGUAUAAAAUCGAGCACACAGCCAUGCAAUCUCCAUAAACAGAUAUUGGCAGUAGAAUGGCCCGUAGUGAAGAGCUCAAUGACUUUCAACGUGGCACCGUCAUAGGAUGCCACCUUUCCAACACGUUAGUUUGUCAAAUUUCUGCCCUGUUCGAGCUUCCCCGGUCAACUGUAAGUGCUGUUAGUGUGAAAUGGAAAUGUCUAGCAGCAAGAACGGCUCAGCCGCAAAGUGGUAGGCCACACCAGCUCAUAGAACGGGACCGCUGAAUCGUGUAGCGUGCGCAAUGCCAAGCGUCAGCUGGAGUGGUGUAAAGCUCUGGAGCAGUGAAAACACGUUCUUUGGAGUGAUGAAUCCCGCUUCACCAUCUAACGGAUGAAUCUGGGUUUGGCGGAUGCCAGGAGAAUGCUACCUGCCCGAAUGCAUAGUGCCAACUGUAAAGUUUGGUGGAGGAGGAAUAUGGUCUGGUGCUGUUUUUCAUGGUUUGGGCUAGGCCCCUUAGUUCAAGUGAAGGGAAAUCUUAACGCUACAACAUACAAUGGCAUUCUAAAUGAUUCUGUGCUAACAACUUUGUGGCAACAGUUUGGGGAAGGCCCUUUCCUGUUUCAGCAUUACAAUGCCCCCGUUCACAAAGCGAGGUCCAUACAGAAAUGGUUUGUCGAGAUCGGUAUAUAAGAACUUGAUUGGCCAGCACAGAGCCCUAACCUCAACCCCAUUCCCUUUGGGAUGAAUUGGAACGUUGACUGCGAGCCAGGCCUAAUCACCCAACAUCAGUGUCUGACCUCACUAAUGCACUUUUGGCUGUAUGGAAGAAAGUCCAUGCAGCAAUCUUCCAACAUCUAGUCGAAAGCCUUCCCAGAAGAGUGGAGGCUGUUAUAGCAGCAAAGAGGGGCAACCAACUCCAUAUUAAUGCCCAUGACUGUAAUGAGAUGCUCGUCUAGCACUUUUGGCCAUGUAGUGUGCCUUAAAAAAAAGGUAGGGGCGUGGAUCAGAAAACCAGUAUCUGGUGUGACCACCAUUUGCCUCAUGCAGCACGACAUAUUUCCUUCGCAUAGAGUUGAUAAUGCUGUUGAUUGUGGCAUGUGGAAUGUUGUCCCACUCUUCAAUUGCUGUGCGAAGUUGCGGGAACUGGAACACGCUGUUGUACACAUCGAUCCAGAGCAUCCCAAACAUGCUCAAUGUUUGACAUGUCUGGUGAGUAUGCAGGCCAUGGAAGAAUUGGGAUAUUUUCAGCUUCCAGGAAUUGUGUACAGAUCCUCGCGACAUGAGAUUGUGCAUUAUCAUGCUGAAACAUGAGGUGAUGGCGUUGGAUGAAUGGCUCGACAAUGGGCCUCAGGUUCUCCCCACGGUAUUUCUGUGCAUUCAAAUUGUCAUUGAUAAAAUGCAAUAUUGUUUGUUGUUCCUAGCUUAUGCCUGCCCAUACCAAAACACCACGUCCACCAUGGGGCACUCUGUUCACAACGUUAACAUCAGCAAACCGCUUACCCACGUGAAGCCGUACACGCUGUCUACCAUCUCCCCGGUACAGUUUAAAACCGGGAUUCAUCUGUGAAGAGCACACUUCUCCAGUGUUCCAGUGGUCAUUGAAGGUGAGCAUUUGCCCAUUGAAGUUGAUUACAACGCCGAACUGCAGUCAGGUCAAGACCCUGGUGAGCAUGACGAGCACACAGAUGCGCUUCCUUGAGACGGGUUCUGACAGUUUGUGCAGAAAUUCUUCAGUUGUGCAAACCCACAGUUUCAUUAGCUGGCCGGAUGGCUGGUCCCGCAGUUGAAGAAGCGGUUCUGGGCUGGUGUUGGUCUGCAGUUGUGAGGCCAGUUCAACAUACUGCCAUAUUCUAUUAAACAACAUUGAGACAUCUGUGUCAUCGUGUUGUGUGACAAAACUGCACAUUUUAGAGUGGAGACCAGAUGCUGAAGUGGUGCUUUGAGGGCUAGUGGGAGGCACUAUUUCCUCUGGUCUAAAAAAGAUCCCAAUGCCACAGGGCAGUGUUUGGGAACAUUUCCAUGUGUAGGGUGCUGUCUUUUGGAUGGGGAUGUGAAACGGGUGUCCUGACUCUCUGUGGUCACUAAAAGAUCCCAUGUUACUUAUCGUAAGAGCAUGGGUGUUAACCCCAGUGGCCUAGCUAAAUUCCCAAUCUGGCCCUCAUACCAUAAUGGCCACCUAAUCACCCCCUGCUUCCUAUUGGCUCAGUCAUCCCCCCUCCACUCCCCUGUAACUAUUCCCCAAGUCGUUGCUGUAAAUGAGAAUGUGUUCUCAGUCAAAUGACCUGGAAAACUUCUGUCAAUUCUUUUUACAAGUAUUUCCACAGAUGUUGAACCCGAUUUAAGUCAAAACUGUAAUUAUGCCACUCAGGAACAUUCAAUGUCGUCUUGGUAAGCAACUCCAGUGUAUAUUUGGCCUUGUGUUUUGUGGAGUUAGUAUUGUAGAGUAACUACAAUGUUGUUAAUCCAUUCUCAGCCAUUAAACUUAACUGUUUUAAAGUCACCAUCGGCCUCAUGGUGAAAUCCCUGAGACGAUUUUCUUCCUCUCCGACAACUGAGUUAGGAAGGACGCCUGUGUCUUUGUAGUGACUGAGUAUAAUGGUACAGUAUCCAAAGUGUAAUUAAUAACUUCACUGUGCUACAUGUAAAAGGGAUAUUCAAUGUCUGCUUUUAUUUUUGCCCAUCUAACAGCAGGUGCCUUUCUUAACAAGGCAUUGGAAAACCUCUCUCGUCUUUGUGGUUGAAUCUGUGUUUGAAAUUCCCUGCUCGACUCUGUGUGGGGUACAGAGAUGGGGUAGUCAUUCAAAAAUCAUGUUAAACACUAUUUUUGCGCACAGUGAGUCCAUGCAACUUAUGUGACUUGUUAAGCAAAUCUUUACUCCUGAACUUAUUUAUGUUUGCCAUAACAAAAGGGUGGAAUACUUAUUGACUCAAGACAUUUCAGCUUACAUUUUUUUAUUAAUUUGUAAACGUUUUUAAAAACAUAAUGCCUCUUUGACAUUAGGUGGUAUUGUGUCUGUUUAGGCCAGGGACACACAAUCUCAAUUGAAUCCAUUUAAAAUUAUGUCUGUAACACAAGAAAAAGCCAAGGGUUGUGAAUACUCUGAAGCAUUUAGCAGAAUGAUAAAAUAAAAUGGAUGCCACCUGCAGUUUAGGCCUGACAUGAGAGAAGGGCUUCCCUAAGCAGUGCCAGUCUAAAACUGAAAUACCUAACAAGGUAGUAUCCUUAUACUCAGUAUUUGUAUUAUGUAUUCUAGUAUUUUUCGCUCAUCUUUAUGAAACUAGGUUUGCUGUUCACUUGCUCUAUAUAAGAUGGAAGGGAGUUUCAUGCACUCAUGGCUCUGUAUAAUACUGUACGUUUCCUUGAAUUUGUUCUGGACCUGAGUGAAAAGACCCCUGGUGGCAUGUCUGGUGGGGUAAGUGUGUGUGUCAGUGCUGUGUGUAAGUUGACUAUGCAAACAAUUUGGAAUUUCCAACACAUUCAUGUUUCUUAUAAAAACAAGAAGUGACUCAGUCAGUGUUUCCUCAACUCUUAACCAAGAUAUAUAUACUGGCAUGUAGUGUAUUAAUAUUAGCCCUCUGAUUACAUUGAAGAGCAAGACGUGC